Molecule: long non-coding RNA, 2855 nt
Organism: Magallana angulata
Lineage: Eukaryota; Metazoa; Mollusca; Bivalvia; Ostreida; Ostreidae
Exons: 5
Source: RefSeq, a predicted model, not a curated record
AAUCGGUUAUUCCUUCCAUUGACAUGAAAGUAGUGAAAGCUGGUGCAACGGGCUCUCACAAGCUAGAACAAUUUUAACAAGACCUUGGACUUUCAGUAGGAUGUAACGAUCUAUUUCUUGCGUCAAAACAAGUUAAAAUGACGCUGGUUUCAAGUGAAAUAUACACCGAUUGCGUAGUCUUUGCUCAAAAGCCAGACAAAUCCUGUUGAUUUCAAAGAGCCAUGCCUGAGAGGCAUACAAUGAAAUAGACAGGCCUACGUCACAUUGCAGUUUGACUCAAAUACCCAAAGUCCAAGUCUUGUUAAAAUGGUUUUAAUUAACAGUCUUUGAAAUUAUUCAUAAAGUUUUUUUUUAAAGUUAUAAUUGAGGUUAAUCUAAUAGUGUGCAUGCAGUUGAUUAUUAUCAUAAAGUUGGUAGUCCAUUACGGGCUUUUGCAACAGAACCCUGAUCACGUGAUGUAAACCAAGUAUUUGCUCUGUAAAUUCGAAAUAUAAGAUGAAGGCAGCGUUCGAUGGUGUGAACUUACUCGGCUCAUGUUUAGGAAAGAAUCACCGGGUUUCAGGUGCAAAAGAAAGAAGUAGGAGGCUUGUCAUAUUUCAAAACGAAUAUGUCGAUUUCAGAGAACAUGGAGAAAAGAGGAGAAUAGGGGAAACCUCCCACAGAAAUGCGUGUCUUUUGGAUCUCUAUUUCCUCACCCUUAUCCCGCAAAUUUCUGUAACGACUUACUAGUGCCAUCAACAGAUCAGAAGAUCGGCUGGAGUUGCCCACCAUCCCGCAACCCACCAACACGGUCAGAGAACGCCUCAUUUUGGUAUUUGAAAUCCAACAACAUAUACCCACAUGGACACCGUUGACAGAAUAAUGAAUACAUGUACGUGUAUUUAUAUGUACUAUAGAUCGAAUGGCUGGCUCGUACAAACCGGCUUCAAGCACCGCCCUCUUCGCCGCCAUUACACACCUCAACCCGGGAAGCACAAAAUCCCCAAAUGGUUUUACACCAUUCUGCAAAGAACUAUCAACACUGUACAAUUUUGCACCAGGGAUUAUCUGAGUGAACAUUGGAGCGUACUAGUAUAUGCAUUUAUACAUUAAAGCUGGAUUAAUUGGUUCCAUCGCGAAGUUUUGAAGCAGUGACAUUUUGUCUCUCUCGGACAUUUGUACCAUCCUGUUUCGAAAAUUUUGAAACAGAAUCUUUUUUGCUAGAAAGAGUCAUUAUAGACAAAAUUCCGUGCAAUGAAUCGGGGUCCAGACAUGUCUGAUUAAUGUCUCACUGACACUGGAAGCACGAGUCGUGCCUUUCUUCCACAUUGAUUUGAUCCUAUGACAAGAUUCGAUGUUUUUUUUUAUAGCUACACAUAUGAACUAAUGGCUAUUAAUCAAACGGUAGACACGAGAUAAGAAUCGAGUUAGACAUUAACCAUGCUCAGAAAAUGAUUGAGGAAUGGAUUGUUCCUGUUCCUUGUUCAUAUCCGGUUCAAUGUAAUGAGUCAUACAUGUAUUCGUAUCUACUUAGUAUUGCAUAUAGGAGUUAAAGGGGCAUGGUCACAAUUUUAAUCAAAUUCUAUUUUUCUGUCUUUAUUGAUUACAACGCUUUAGAAAUUUGAGAGUCAGUCAUUAAGUUAUAAGCAAGAAACAGAUCUAAUAAUUCUUUAUGUAAACAAUGCCUGUGCCCUGUUUUUGUUUACAUAGAUUCAUUAUAUAUCAGUAACAAAUCUUUUUUUAAGCUGAUUUGUCUAUCUUCUUAUCUAUUUUAAGCAUAAAUAAACAGUUCUUACGUUUAAUACAUUCAUUUAAGGUCUAAAAUUGGACUUUUCACUUCAACAUUCAAAAUGUAAACAAAUGCUUUGUUUACAUAGUAAAGAAUCGUUAGUUCUGUAACUCGCUUAUAACUCAACGAUUGACACUCAAACUUUGGUUGCAUAUUAAAAUGCCUUACUUAGCAUUGAAAGCAUUAAAAUCGGAAAAAUAAUUUUUGACCAAAAUCGUGACCAUGCCUCUUUAAGCGAUACUUUUUUCUCAGACUUGCACGAGGUAUAUGUAUUUAGCAACAAGCAUGCAGGCAAACGCUAACCACCUAUAGUCUGUCCCAAGAUAUUUAUGCAGCACAUUUGGACGAUUUUUAAUAAAAAUACAAAUACCUGUGAAAGAAGUGCAAUUGAAAUAGUUGAAAGGGAUAUUUUCCAAGCUAAUUUCAUUGACACAUUAUCAUCUUUCACUCGGAAAAAUUCACAGGAACAAAAUCAGAUUCAUUACGGAGAUUUAUAAUGGGGAAUGUUCACAUCUUUUCUCCAUUCGGAAUACACUCGGAAUACAUCGCGCAAUAUUUCAACGUUAUCAUCCGGGCUUGCUGCAAUACAAAAUCUCCGUAGACAUCACAUUUUUUUUUACAUUGUAUUGAAACCUGAUAAGCUAACAGGGGCGUUUUGACUGAGAAAUCUUGGAAAUUUUUCAUACUUUUGAAUGAACAUCGUUUGAAUCCUGAGGUAUUUAUAUAUAUCAAGCAAUUAAGCCAAAUGUGAAUCCAAAAUAUCUUGGAACAGAGUAUACUUAUUAUACUAAGUCCAGACUAAUACCCUAUCGUCUCAGAUAAUUUUCUCUGAAAGACUCACAGCUUUUAUUUCAAUCACCGCCUCAGUUCUAAUUUCCCCUGUGAUUUUGAAAUAUGGAGCGAUUUUCCGAACGGAUUUCAAAUCGUCUUGCAUGGUUUACGAACAAUCUAGUCUGGUAUCUUUGACGUAAUCACGCCAUUCAUUUUCGUUUUUGUUAAAUACAUUUCUUUAAGUAGUAUUUUUAAUUUUUAUAAUUUUCUUUGAUUCAUGCAUGCUUUUGAAUAAAAUUUCAUUAAAAAAAUGGAA